UACGGAGGGUGCAAGCGUUGUUCGGAAUUAUUGGGCGUAAAGGGCGCGUAGGCGGUUGUGAAAGUCAGAUGUGAAAUACUUCGGCUCAACUGAAGAACUGCAUCUGAAACUUCAUAACUCGAGUACUGAAGAGGGAAAUGGAAUUCCUGGUGUAGAGGUGAAAUUCGUAGAUAUCAGGAGGAACACCAGUGGCGAAGGCGAUUUCCUGGUCAGAUACUGACGCUGAGGCGCGAAAGUGUGGGGAGCAAACAGGAUUAGAUACCCUGGUAGUCCACACUGUAAACGGUGAACACUAGGUGUGGGAGGUGUAAUACCUUCCGUGCCGUAGCUAACGCGUUAAGUGUUCCGCCUGGGAAGUACGGCCGCAAGGUUGAA
This 375-nucleotide ribosomal RNA is filed under the name uncultured bacterium. RNAcentral describes it as "bacterial SSU rRNA". It matches the Rfam family "Bacterial small subunit ribosomal RNA", at positions 524 to 898 of the family's 1533-position model. The record is from RNAcentral.